CCUACGGGCUGCACCAGUGGGGAAUAUUGGACAAUGGGCGCAAGCCUGAUCCAGCCAUGCCGCGUGUGUGAAGAAGGCCUUUUGGUUGUAAAGCACUUUAAGCGAGGAGGAGGCUACCUAGAUUAAUACUCUAGGAUAGUGGACGUUACUCGCAGAAUAAGCACCGGCUAACUCUGUGCCAGCAGCCGCGGUAAUACAGAGGGUGCGAGCGUUAAUCGGAUUUACUGGGCGUAAAGCGUGCGUAGGCGGCUUUUUAAGUCGGAUGUGAAAUCCCCGAGCUUAACUUGGGAAUUGCAUUCGAUACUGGGAAGCUAGAGUAUGGGAGAGGAUGGUAGAAUUCCAGGUGUAGCGGUGAAAUGCGUAGAGAUCUGGAGGAAUACCGAUGGCGAAGGCAGCCAUCUGGCCUAAUACUGACGCUGAGGUACGAAAGCAAGGGGAGCAAACAGGAUUAGAUACCCGUGUAGUC
RNAcentral lists this ribosomal RNA (466 nucleotides) under uncultured bacterium. Its description in RNAcentral is "bacterial SSU rRNA". It matches the Rfam family "Bacterial small subunit ribosomal RNA", at positions 338 to 795 of the family's 1533-position model. The record is from RNAcentral.